AGAGAAGGGUUUCAGGAGGCAGUCUGGCAGGCAACCAAGCCACCCAAGAGAGCCAGAAUGAGCUCUCCAUUGGGGGCUCCAAUGGAUAUAUGGACCCAGGCUGCAGGUGUACUGUGUGCAGCAUGGGUAGGUUGGCUGAGCCCCUGCCCCAGCGUGGCACCCCCUGUGACACAUGACCCAUCAGGUGUCUAGCAGCUUGGGGAGCGCAAGCCAGCACCUACCUCACCAGCUCUGUAGCCCUAGGCCCAGCCAUAAGGCAUGGGUCACCAUGACACCACCAGAUGGUAGCAGUGCAAGCUCCUUCCCAAGGCGGGGCCCUGUCUGGGUGCCUGCAUGCUGCACUCUGCCAUCUGAGGACACCACCCAGAGCUGCAUGCUGUUGCCACCAGCCAGGACCAAGUGCAGCCAUCAGCCAUGCCAUCCCCAGCCACAUGGUCCUGCAUCUGCACACAGGGGAGAGACCACACUUGG
This is a long non-coding RNA of Alligator sinensis (Chinese alligator), 471 nucleotides long. RefSeq lists it as uncharacterized. NCBI's taxonomy places the organism in Eukaryota, Metazoa, Chordata, Crocodylia, Alligatoridae. The transcript has 3 exons. The record is from RefSeq and is a predicted model, not a curated record.